AUUGAACGCUGGCGGCAGGCCUAACACAUGCAAGUCGAGCGGCAGCGGAAAGUAGCUUGCUACUUUGCCGGCGAGCGGCGGACGGGUGAGUAAUGUCUGGGAAACUGCCUGAUGGAGGGGGAUAACUACUGGAAACGGUAGCUAAUACCGCAUGACCUCGAAAGAGCAAAGUGGGGGAUUUUCGGACCUCACGCCAUCCGAUGUGCCCAGAUGGGAUUAGCUAGUAAGUGAGGUAAUGGCUCACCUCGGCGACGAUCCCUAGCUGGUCUGAAAGGAUGACCCGGCCCUCUUUUAACUUGGAAACUGCCCAAACUCCCACGUGAGGAACUCUAUGGCCCUACUUUCCCCAUUUGGGGUGCUUUAGGGCCGUCAUG
Molecule: ribosomal RNA, 374 nt
Filed under: uncultured Parvimonas sp.
Lineage: Bacteria; Bacillati; Bacillota; Tissierellia; Tissierellales; Peptoniphilaceae
Description: bacterial SSU rRNA
Rfam family: Bacterial small subunit ribosomal RNA
Source: RNAcentral